CCGGGCAACUCCCGCCCACCUCGCUGAGGGCCCUUGGCUUCAGUGUCGACAGUGCGCAAGCGCGCGGUUCCCUGCCCAGGCCUGGUCCCGCCCUGCCGGCUGGCGGAGUCUAACAGCGAAACUGCGGGGGUUUGGGCUGUCUUUCUGGAGUGUUCAGAAUUUCUCUAGCCCUGGGAGCAUUUUUUCACAGUGAAAGGACAGCCUGAGAAAAAAUGAGACCUGGACUCAGCCCAGACAGUGAAGAGAAGUGUGUGCAAGAAACAGUGCAUUUCCUUAUUUAAUUAUAUCUUACCUAGCCCUCUCAGCCCCCAAUUUCCAGCCUUUUCCAGAAUACCAUCAUGAUGUUUCACCAUGAGUGACUUCAUUUCCUGCUGAUUUCUUUACAAGGAAAGCAACACUUAUCCAGCAACACACAAAAGUUGCUUUUUCCUCUAAAAAUCCACAAGAGAUUUUUAGGGCUGUGAAAAUCCUCUGCAAGAUACUAUGAUGGUGAACACAAGUCAUUAUACAUUUGUACAAACCUGUUAUUCGUACAACACCUAAUGUAAACUAUGGACUUUGGGUAAUGAUGUGUCGAUAUAGAUUCAUCAGUUGUGAGGAAUGUACUGCUCUGAUGGAGGAUGUUGAUAAUUGGGGAAGUUAUGCAUAUGUGGGGAG
This is a long non-coding RNA of Sciurus carolinensis (gray squirrel), 657 nucleotides long. RefSeq lists it as uncharacterized. Lineage: Eukaryota; Metazoa; Chordata; Mammalia; Rodentia; Sciuridae. The record is from RefSeq and is a predicted model, not a curated record. The transcript has 3 exons.